Non-coding RNA from Kogia breviceps (pygmy sperm whale), 1135 nucleotides. Lineage: Eukaryota; Metazoa; Chordata; Mammalia; Artiodactyla; Physeteridae. The record is from RefSeq and is a predicted model, not a curated record.
ACCUAAUGAUGCAAAGCAGAAUAAGACAUAAUGCUGCUCUUUUUCAGCCUACUAUUCUGGAGAGACACGUGACCAAGUAGCUUUAACACAUUGGGGUAGAAUGGUCAAGCCUGUAUGUUCAGACUUCUGGACAACUUUGCCUCUGGAGUUGUUUCAUGGCUUUUUGGUUCAGCGUUGGAAAAAAAAAAAAAAAAGAGGAAGUUGCCAGUUAUUCAGAAGAAAUCCUUUACCCAGGUUCUGCAUUGGCAAGGAGCUAGGUCACAGUCACCAUCAUCUUAAGCCAUUUUACUAAGGCUGAGUCCAGGGUACCGGACCACUAAGAGGCCUUCAGCUGCUGAAGAGAUAAUGAGCUUCCCAAAGCCUCCGCAAGGUGGUGGCUCAACCCUGCCCAGAUUGGAAGAGCCAUUCUGGCUGCUGAGAACGGCGUAAGAACCUGCUGAACCCACAAGACUCACAGAAGGUGAAGUCAAGGGCUCUCAGACUCAUAAGGUUACUAGGACACCAGACUGGCACCCCAAAGGAGAACUUUACGGAGACUUACAACACAGCAACAAGUUAGAAGGGGAUAAAAACAAACAAACAAACAAACAAAACCUUUAACACUCACCAACCCCAAGCACGGAGCUGAGGGAAACAUUCUGACCUGCACAGGCAGACUGCAGGCUGGAUGGAGAGCUGGCUGAGGAGGACAUCUGGAGAGUGAAGGUUAAGUACCAGCUGGGAUUUUUGUGCCUGCAGAUUCUUUUUGGCUUUUUAGAUAAUAAGCAUCAAAUUCUGUGUGUCUGUAUAACAGUUUUUCUAGCAGUUUAUUGGAAGGUGGAUGUAUUUGAGGUUAAAGUCUACAAAGAGAAGGUAACUCCUAGGGAAGGAAGAAGGAGAGAGGAAAGAAAAUUAGAAGCUAAGAUUCUUUGUAAUGACUUCAGGUAGUGAGCGGUAUGUGUUUGUGAGUGAGUGUGUAUUUGACAGGCUUUGGCUCAUGCCCAUGUGUCCCUCUUCUAGUAUCAGUGAGGGGAGGGGCUAUUGAAGAAAGAAAAAAAGAAAAAGAAAGAAACCUGAGCUCUCUGGAAGAAAUUCAUAGGAACGCAGAGAAACGAACUUCAUUCUGCAAGGACUAAACUAGAGCAAGGAGAGAGAG